GUGAAUCAUCAAAUUUUUGAACGCAUAUUGCACUCUCUGGUAUUCCGGAGAGUAUGCCUAUUUGAGGGUCAGUUGAAAUAAUAUACAUUCCAGGAUUUCUCGGAAUUUAUAAUGCGUUGUCCAUUUGUUGUGGUCGCCUAAAAUCCAAGACAAGCACAUUUUCUUGGGUUGCUUGAUACUUUUAGUAAUCUCGUGACUUAACCAGGAAUCAUCGGGUGU
This 219-nucleotide unclassified non-coding RNA is filed under the name Ambisporaceae sp. Its description in RNAcentral is "partial contains 5.8S ribosomal RNA and internal transcribed spacer 2". The stretch from base 1 to 71 matches the Rfam family "5.8S ribosomal RNA", at positions 84 to 154 of the family's 154-position model. The record is from RNAcentral. Lineage: Eukaryota; Fungi; Glomeromycota; Glomeromycetes; Archaeosporales; Ambisporaceae.